GGCGCGUUGGAGAAACGGUUAACUCACCAGCCUCUCACGCUGGCAUUCAUGGGUUCGAAUCCCAUACGCGUCACCA
RNAcentral lists this transfer RNA (76 nucleotides) under Bacillota bacterium. RNAcentral's name for it is "tRNA-Glu". It matches the Rfam family "tRNA". Rfam says of the family: Transfer RNA (tRNA) molecules are approximately 80 nucleotides in length. Their secondary structure includes four short double-helical elements and three loops (D, anti-codon, and T loops). Lineage: Bacteria; Bacillati; Bacillota. The record is from RNAcentral.